Long non-coding RNA from Canis lupus familiaris (dog), 3865 nucleotides. RefSeq lists it as uncharacterized. The record is from RefSeq and is a predicted model, not a curated record. The transcript has 4 exons. Lineage: Eukaryota; Metazoa; Chordata; Mammalia; Carnivora; Canidae.
GAAACUCAACUCAAACCGACCCAAGCAAAAAAGCAAAACCCAAAACCCAAUCAUCCCUUCACCUCCAGGCACAGCUAGAUCCAGAGUCUCAAACAGACUCUCUCUCUACACCUCUCUGCUUUUCUUCGCUUUGGACUUCAUUCUCAGGUAAGCUCUGCACUUGAGGUGAAAGGCCGGUCACCAGCACCUGGAGGCUAAAUUUUGCCAGCUAAGCAAGCCCGGCAGGUACGAGCUCCUGGUGUCAAAAUCUCUGCAAAGAUCCAGUCUCAUUGGCUCGGUUGAGGUCACGUGCCCAUCACAGAGCGGGUUGUAACCGGGGGACUGCGCUCUCCUGAUUGGCCAGAUGCGGGUCACGUGCUCAGUCGUGGCACCCGGGCGGGAGGCCCGCCCCACCCAAAUCACGUGGACGGGGAGUCGGGGAAAAGUGGUUCCUCGAAGGAAGACGGGGGGAGUACUGCUCGAAGAAAGGAGGAUAGAUCGUGGGCAGCCAGAAGCCACAGUGUCCGCUCUAUACAAGCAUUUGACAAUGCGCGUGUGUGCGCGGGUGUCAUUUCGUGAAUUACAACAGUAACAACGAGAGCUACCGUCCAUGGUUUACUACGCUCCCGCGCUGUUCUGAUCGCUUUGCGUCUAUUAGCUCAUCUGAUCCUUACACCAACCCUGUUAUUAACUUCAACGGGCAGGAAUUCAGGUCUAAGCGAAUUAAUUACCAUGCUACGAGGUCUCACAGUAAGAAACGUUGGUCGGAAGCCUACCGGAGUAUUUGGGGUUUUCUCUUCCCCUCCCCCGCUGGGGCGGAUUCACACAGCAGAGGCUGAGCGCUGCAGGCGGCCGAGGCCUCCGCCAAGUAAACACUCAGGAGACAGAAAAGUAACGGGAGAUCCCUGCCCGGAAGGAUCCCAGUCUGGUGGGGGAGACAGACGUAAACACCGGAUUACCGUGCAAUAUGCCCUUCCUGAGGCUCACAGAGAAUGAAGCUUGCCCUCCACGGUGCUCCACUGUCUCCUGCACAUACGACCACCCCAGCACCCUAUGACACAGAGACACUUGGCUAUCUGUGGUGGUUCCGUGUUCCCAGUGAGCACACACACUCCUGGGGUAAAGGUGGCACUCAAUUGAUCUCUGUGUGGCAAGAGCCUCAGUGCCAGUGAAUUGAAUGAAGAAAUAAAAGGACAAGUGGACAAACUACCCAGGGGCCCGGCAAAGAGCUCAGUGAAAUAGCAUGACUGGAGGGGCCCAUCCGGACCAGAGGAGCGCUGGAGCCCACCUGCACCAGCUCGGGAGAGUCUGCUGUGUAUGUCUCUUCCAAACUCCAGUUACUGACAUGGCAACGGAUGGCCUGAAAUCACCCAGGGAGAGUAUUUAUACUAUGCAAACUGGCAAACACCACAACUCAAGGGCAGUUUUCCCUCAGAGAACUAGAUGUUAACUGUUUACAAGCACCUCACUGGUCUGGCCCACAAAACAGGUAUCCACACCUUAGGGGACAGUUGAAUAAACACAAAUGGCUAGAGAUGACAUACAGCAAAUCUCAUGUCAAGAAUCACUUUACGAACUAAAUGGCACUGUGUUUCAAUGACAAAAAGCUCCUUUAUAACUGGAAGUCAAUUUAUAGGAAAUCGAAAUCUGCAGUCUGUGUCUUUUGAUCUUAAAAUACCCUCGGAGCAGGGAGUAAAUCUUGUCUGAACUGGAAAAUGUCAUGCUACAUCCAAUCCAGGACCUCAGCACAAGAUAGUUUACUGUUUUCAGUCAGAGCCAUGCGCAGAGCAACACAUGCAGACGUAAGUGGGGUACAAGUUUAAAUCUUAGCUCUGUCUCUUGCCAGCUCCAGUUGAACCUUCAGAUGAUAGCACCCCUCACUGACCUCCUACUGCAAUCUCAUGAGGGGCCCAGUUAAGCCACUCCUGAAUUCUAGAGCCACUAAGUUUUGGGAUAAUUUGUGAUACAGCUUAUACCAUAUAUACUCAAGAUAUGUUAGGUGUCACUGCCACUACUCCUGCUUCAAACCUCAGUUCCCCAGUCCCCUCUCAAGAAGCCUUCCUGACUUCUGGGCCAAGGAGCCCCUCUUCUAUGCUCCAGAUCCCCACGCACCAGCCUGCCCUAUAACGGAGCCUGACUUCCUUGCCUGCUGGCAGGAACUACUGUGUCUUUCUCAUUGUUGACUCCCCAACUCCCAGAAUAGGGCCUGGCCUGGAAAAUACUCCUGGUGUGUAUUGCUGAGUGAAUGAAUAAAGUGCCACAGGCUUGGGCCCCAUAUGAGUGGCUCUAAUGCCCUGCCUCACAUGGCUGCACAGACACCAGUUCCCUGAGACCUUAGGCUUCUUUCCUUGCCCUAAUUUCUUAUGGCCACAGUCUGCCUACUAGGAUAACCAAGAAGGGGCUCCCAGGACUUUCAUUCCCCAAAAUGGGAAAGUGGCAGGCAGGCCAGAAUGAGUUGGCUACCUAUAUACUCAUGAUGUGUUGAUUUCACUCUAUAGGUGAAAGAGUUUGAAAGCUGGUCUCCUGCUUUUACUAUUGGAUUCUGUGAGAGGAGGGCACAUGAUCAGCUCCAGGAUGAGUUGCAGUCCCUCUGGUAUUCUCAUCAUCCUGGUCUCUGAGCAGGGCUGGAGUGGGAAAUCACCCACACAGAGCAGCACAGCUUCUCCUUACGAGAAACACAUGGAGGUGGAAACCAGUCUUGCUCAAUGAGACCUCUAGGCACCCAGAGACCGUGUGACUUGAAGCCCACCCAGCUGCAGCAGGUACCUACCUGAUCUUCCACCAGCCUUCCAGGUUCUUCUGGAUGACCUCCACCACGGCCCCUCUCUCUAGAUUCAUUUCAUCCUGAUCACGAGCUGUGUACGGGUAGAUGACUGUGUACUUCUCCUCUGCAGGAACAAAGGGAUGCUGGGUUAAGUCAAGGACAAGGGAGAGUCCUGGGAUGCUGAUUGCUGAGGCUGUGAUCCAUGAGAUGCUCUUGCCCAUCAAAGGGAAAGAUUUCCUUUAGAAAUUUCUGGGGACCCCAUAGGCCUUCAUUUAGCUUUGGAUGACCCUGUGGAAGCAGGAACAGGACAUAGGACAAAGGUCAGGUCCCAAUACCUCUGAAAUCCCUCAGUGUCACACAUUUGUCCUCAUCUUCCUCAAAGCUGUGCUUCAAGGUCACCUUCCUUGACCUUUAUGCAGUAUUCAGACCCAUGGCAUCCUUGUCCCCCUUACCUAGGUUUAUUUUUUGCCCCAUACCAGGAAUUGCCUUCUAACAAAGCAUAUAAUUUACUUAUUUAUUGUGUUUUGUGUCUGUGUUCCUUGCUUGAAUAUAAACGCCACGAAGGUAGGGAUUUGUGUGUCUCAUUCAUUCCUCUGACUCUAGCACUGGGUACAGUCCUGGGAAUAUUGUGUAACUGUUUAUUAGUAAAUUAGUCAGCGUUUAGGAAAUGAAGGGCCUAGUGGGAGCUGUCUUGCUCAUACUAGAGGGAGUUAACUCAUCUGUCCCUCCUCCACAGUUCUUGUUGGUAGAGGGGUCAGGGAUGAGCUGGAUUUUUGGCAGCAGAUAGUUUCAGGCUGAAAUCAUUAUCAAGGAGGUGAGAGCUAGUAAUUUUCUUUCUUUCUUUCUUUCUUUCUUUCUUUCUUUCUUUCUUUCUUUCUUUCUUUCUUUCUUUCUUUCUCUUUCUUUCUUCUUUCUUUCUCUCUCUCUCUUCCUUCCUUUUUUUGUUUUUUUGAAGGUUAAACUUUUAUUCAGCAAGGCUCAAACAAUUACAUGCUAAUUUCCAGCUAGGUUGCACCAAAAAUGACUUAAAAAUUUCCUUUUGGGGGGAUCCCUGGGUGGCUCAGCAGUUUAGUUAAUGCCUGCCUUCGGCCCACGGUGUAAUCCUGGAGUUCUGGGAUUGAG